GCCAAAAUAGCUCAGUUGGGAGAGCAUUAGACUGAAGGUCUAAAAGGUCCCUGGUUCAAUCCCAGGGUUCGGCA
Molecule: non-coding RNA, 74 nt
Organism: Carcharodon carcharias (great white shark)
Lineage: Eukaryota; Metazoa; Chordata; Chondrichthyes; Lamniformes; Lamnidae
Source: the annotation of a RefSeq genome assembly